Molecule: non-coding RNA, 23 nt
Filed under: Cricetulus griseus (Chinese hamster)
Lineage: Eukaryota; Metazoa; Chordata; Mammalia; Rodentia; Cricetidae
Source: RNAcentral
UUCUUCAGGACAGUUAAAAGAGC